Molecule: ribosomal RNA, 253 nt
Filed under: uncultured bacterium
Lineage: Bacteria
Description: partial 16S ribosomal RNA
Rfam family: Bacterial small subunit ribosomal RNA
Source: RNAcentral
UACGUAGGGUGCGAGCGUUGUCCGGAAUUAUUGGGCGUAAAGAGCUUGUAGGCGGUUUGUCGCGUCUGCCGUGAAAAUCCGGGGCUCAACCCCGGACUUGCGGUGGGUACGGGCAGACUAGAGUGUGGUAGGGGAGACUGGAAUUCCUGGUGUAGCGGUGAAAUGCGCAGAUAUCAGGAGGAACACCGGUGGCGAAGGCGGGUCUCUGGGCAUUUCCUGACGCUGAGGCGCGAAAGCGUGGGGAGCAAACGGG